This 1248-nucleotide ribosomal RNA is filed under the name metagenome. RNAcentral describes it as "bacterial SSU rRNA". It matches the Rfam family "Bacterial small subunit ribosomal RNA", at positions 104 to 1347 of the family's 1533-position model. The record is from RNAcentral.
GGGUGAGUAAUAUAUCGGAAUGUACCAUUCAGUGGGGGAUAACGUAGCGAAAGUUACGCUAAUACCGCAUAUUCUGUGAGCAGGAAAGCAGGGGAUCGCAAGACCUUGCGCUGAUUGAGCGGCCGAUAUCAGAUUAGCUUGUUGGUGAGGUAAAAGCUCACCAAGGCGACGAUCUGUAGCGGGUCUGAGAGGAUGAUCCGCCACACUGGAACUGAGACACGGUCCAGACUCCUACGGGAGGCAGCAGUGGGGAAUUUUGGACAAUGGGGGCAACCCUGAUCCAGCCAUGCCGCGUGAGUGAAGAAGGCCUUCGGGUUGUAAAGCUCUUUCAGCCGGGAAGAAAACGCAUGGGUUAAUACCCUGUGUGGAUGACGGUACCGGAAUAAGAAGCACCGGCUAACUACGUGCCAGCAGCCGCGGUAAUACGUAGGGUGCGAGCGUUAAUCGGAAUUACUGGGCGUAAAGCGUGCGCAGGCGGUUUUGUAAGACAGGCGUGAAAUCCCCGGGCUUAACCUGGGAACUGCGUUUGUGACUGCAAGGCUAGAGUACGGCAGAGGGGGGUGGAAUUCCACGUGUAGCAGUGAAAUGCGUAGAGAUGUGGAGGAACACCAAUGGCGAAGGCAGCCCCCUGGGUCGAUACUGACGCUCAUGCACGAAAGCGUGGGUAGCAAACAGGAUUAGAUACCCUGGUAGUCCACGCCCUAAACGGUGUCAACUAGGUGUUGGGAGGGUAAAACCUUUUAGUACCGGAGCUAACGCGUGAAGUUGACCGCCUGGGGAGUACGGCCGCAAGGUUAAAACUCAAAGGAAUUGACGGGGACCCGCACAAGCGGUGGAUGAUGUGGAUUAAUUCGAUGCAACGGGAAAAACCUUACCUACCCUUGACAUGCCAAGAACUUUCCAGAGAUGGAUUGGUGCCCGAAAGGGAACUUGGACACAGGUGCUGCAUGGCUGUCGUCAGCUCGUGUCGUGAGAUGUUGGGUUAAGUCCCGCAACGAGCGCAACCCUUGUCGUUAAUUGCCAUCAUUUAGUUGGGCACUUUAACGAGACUGCCGGUGACAAACCGGAGGAAGGUGGGGAUGACGUCAAGUCCUCAUGGCCCUUAUGGGUAGGGCUUCACACGUCAUACAAUGGUCUGUACAAAGGGUCGCCAAGCCGCGAGGUGGAGCCAAUCCCAGAAAGCCGAUCGUAGUCCGGAUCGCAGUCUGCAACUCGACUGCGUGAAGUCGGAAUCGCUAGUAAUCGUGG